GACGAACGCUGGCGGCAGGCCUAACACAUGCAAGUCGAGCGAACAUAUCGGGGUCAGCGUCGGACGGGGGUGUAACGCGUGGGAAUAUUCACUUCUCUACAGACUAGUCCUGGGAAACUGAGGAUAAUACCGUAUACGCCCUAUGGGGGGAUGAUUUAUCGGGGCAGGAUGAGCCGGCGUUGGAUUCGGUAGUUGGUGGGGUAAUGGCCUACCAAGCCGCCGAUCCAUAGCUGGUUUGAGAGGAUGAUCAGCCACACUAGGACUGAGACACGGCCCAGACUCCUACGGGAGGCAGGAGUGGGGAAUCUUAGACAAUGGGGGCAACGCUGAUCGAGCCAUGCCGCGUGAGUGAUGAAGGCCUUAGGGUUGUAAAGCUCUUUCAGCUGGGAAGAUAAUGACGGUACCAGCAGAAGAAGCCCCGGCUAACUACGUG
This 433-nucleotide ribosomal RNA is filed under the name uncultured bacterium. RNAcentral describes it as "partial 16S ribosomal RNA". It matches the Rfam family "Bacterial small subunit ribosomal RNA", at positions 28 to 507 of the family's 1533-position model. The record is from RNAcentral.